GCGUUUAAGGACCAAAGGAGAACUAACUGUUUAGAACUCAGAACUGUACUUGGCUCUAAUUCUAGGACCCCUUCCUGGAAGUCUCCUGAGGAAUGCCAUAGAGGCAGCUUGGGUCGGUGGGACUUGGUGCUGGAAAACCCUGUCCCUCCAGGGUGGUCACAUGGCUUACACUGCCCCUCUGCCCCUCAGCUGGCCUCUGACCCGGCCCUGCAUCGUAAGCUGGCCCGCCUGUCAGCAGGCUCUUUCGCCCGCCUUGUGGAGCUCUUCUCUAGCCGGGGAGGCAGUUCCUCCCCAAACUGCUCAAGUCCCUCGAUGCCGUGCCCAGGGCCCCCAC
This 334-nucleotide long non-coding RNA is filed under the name Rattus norvegicus (Norway rat). RNAcentral's name for it is "long non-coding RNA NONRATT002611". Lineage: Eukaryota; Metazoa; Chordata; Mammalia; Rodentia; Muridae. The record is from RNAcentral.